GCCGAAGUGGUGGAAUUGGUAGACACGCUACCUUGAGGGGGUAGUGGAGAGAUCCGUGCUGGUUCGAGUCCAGUCUUCGGUACCA
RNAcentral lists this transfer RNA (85 nucleotides) under Pseudomonadota bacterium. Its description in RNAcentral is "Proteobacteria bacterium tRNA-Leu". It matches the Rfam family "tRNA". From Rfam's summary of the family: Transfer RNA (tRNA) molecules are approximately 80 nucleotides in length. RNAcentral also lists the same sequence under 1 other name. The record is from RNAcentral. Lineage: Bacteria; Pseudomonadati; Pseudomonadota.